AACAGCAGCUGUUGAUUGGGGCAUAU
Molecule: non-coding RNA, 26 nt
Filed under: Cricetulus griseus (Chinese hamster)
Lineage: Eukaryota; Metazoa; Chordata; Mammalia; Rodentia; Cricetidae
Source: RNAcentral